AUUUUUUUUUCAGGAUUUUCCAGAAGUGUUCCUCAAAGGAAAAAAAAAAAAGCGCAUAGUUAGUGAGUGUCUUGAUGAAAAGUUUCUUCAUAAAAACUACAACAGAGGACUUCAGGUUUCAACUAAGAUGGCACCAUGGGGAGAUCCAGAAUGCCCUUCUACAGACACAUGGGUGGAUGAGAAAACACAAACAUCAAAAACAGAUUUCCAUUAGACAUUAGGGAUUUCUUUGAAGAACAAAAAGCAAACAUCACUGUAAAGAGUGAACAUGGAGAAGAGGCCUGAUUAAACCCAAGUCUUUUGACCCCAAAUCCCAUUUAUCAUCUUAUGUUAAUUUGGUAUCAGGUGAUCAAUGUUAAAGGCAACUGAUUAAGUUUUAUGUGUUUUAUUUUUUUAAUUGGAACAAGAUUUCCAAGGUCCAGUAUGUGUUCACAGAAAUUGUAAAUUGAUUUUGCAUAAUGACCUAGGGACUGUACCUCAGCACUCUUUUCCUUAGCAGCAUGAAAAUUAUGCGUAUCUACUGUGACCCUCAAAAUUGCUAGUGUUUCAUUUGGCUAUAAGUCACCAAAUGAAGAGUCCUGUUCUUCGUCUUUUUUUUUUUUUUUUAAGUUCCAUCUACACUACAUAAAACUAAUACCCUCCCCCCAGUUGGCCUUGAUAAGGGAACAAAUAUAUUAACAAAUGCAUUUUCCCUUUUUCCACCUUCUAAACUUUCUACUCAUUUUCUUCUGAUUUGAACUUUGCAGACAGGGUUUGAGCUUUUUGUAAUGCAGGACUGGGAGAAAAACGUGAAGAGAAAUAAGAAAAAGUGCUAGUGUAGUCUAUAGAGAAAAGCUGAGUGAGCAAAAGAGGAGCUGGAAACUGUUAGCAUAGACAAGUUGUGCGGGUGGGUGAAGUAGGAUGGAGUGAGAUUAAAGUGUUGAGAUGUUUGUGAGAACACAGUCUGGAACAUAGAUUUAUUAGACAUUGGGCUGGAAAGCCUUAAAUAUAUGGAAGGCGAAACAGAAUUAGUGAGUUGAGAAAAAAGGAUUUUUAUAGAUGGAGCCAUGGAGUGAGUUUUUGGCUCUGUGGGUCACAGGGCCCAUGCUGUUUGUUUGUUUUGCCAAGGAAUCAUUCAUUUUCCUGGUGGCAAUGCUUACUCUGUCUUUGCAUAUCUGAACUUGUCAACUAUCACUGAGAGAGCUGUUUAACAACAAGUCUGCUUUGUAGCAUAGCAUCUCUGUCAGGGAGCAGAGGAUGCCUACAUCUCAAACCUCAAAAGAGAAUGAGGUUAUCAUUACUGCCAAUUGUCUAGCAUAUAAAGGAAGGAAACAAGUUACUACUUCACAGACAGAGGAAAAAGCAGUGAUUAAGUUUGUUUGACUGCCCUAAAAAUCAAUGCUAUGGGUGGAGAGUCAUUGAAAUUUUUGAAUCACUGCUUAAAUUUCUACCUGUAGAAGGAGAUUGACCUCAUCAGCAAAGAACUGAAAUACCUUUGCAGUUCAGAUCUGAUUAUCUGAUAUUCAGAUAAUAUUUGUUAAAAUUAGGAAAUUAAAUAUUCCUCUGCUCAGAGCACUUUGGAGUCAAAAAAGUUUUUCAGCAUUUUGAAAAUGUAUAUUUGAUUGAAUGGACUGUUAAUUUUUUAAAUUUCCUGUAACAUUUUAACAAACAAUGUUCUCAGAGAAUGAUGCCCAAUAUGAGAAGAUAAUAUGGCAUUUUGAAAGUCAACUAAUUAAACAAUAAAUUAAUAAUAUGUAUUAAUUUUAUUGAAUUA
This 1753-nucleotide long non-coding RNA is filed under the name Ursus maritimus (polar bear). RNAcentral's name for it is "lncRNA (ENSUMAG00000008513.1)". Lineage: Eukaryota; Metazoa; Chordata; Mammalia; Carnivora; Ursidae. The record is from RNAcentral.